UUUUUAUGUUUAUGAUAAUAUUUUGCUAAUAAUCUAACUUUCAAUUCAAAGUUCCGAGUUCGCUGCUCGUCAUUAUUUUAGAAAUCAAGCAUGAAGAUGAAGCCAAAGAACGAAGAAUGAAGAUCCAAAGUCGUCCUUCUGUGUUUUUUAAUUUUUUUUUUGGUUUGCUAAUUGAUAAAUAGUUGUCAAAUAUUUUGGAAAACUAGUUUAAUUAGAUGACUAUUUAUAUAAGCUUUUAAUUUUCAGUAAUGUACUUCCAAUCUAUUGCAUAAACACAUCGUAUAUAAUUUAACAAAAUUGUCGUAAAU
Molecule: long non-coding RNA, 308 nt
Filed under: Capsella rubella
Lineage: Eukaryota; Viridiplantae; Streptophyta; Magnoliopsida; Brassicales; Brassicaceae
Description: long non-coding RNA (CRUB_LNC004990)
Source: RNAcentral